GGCUUAAUAGUUUAGGAAGAAUGAGAGUUUUGUAAUCUUUUGGUACCCUUAUGGGUUUUGGCCA
This 64-nucleotide transfer RNA is filed under the name Neoteredo reynei. RNAcentral describes it as "tRNA-Thr". Lineage: Eukaryota; Metazoa; Mollusca; Bivalvia; Myida; Teredinidae. The record is from RNAcentral.